UUAGAUAAGAAAUGUUGUCAC
RNAcentral lists this non-coding RNA (21 nucleotides) under Caenorhabditis elegans. Lineage: Eukaryota; Metazoa; Nematoda; Chromadorea; Rhabditida; Rhabditidae. The record is from RNAcentral.